Molecule: ribosomal RNA, 1216 nt
Filed under: Megasphaera elsdenii
Lineage: Bacteria; Bacillati; Bacillota; Negativicutes; Veillonellales; Veillonellaceae
Description: bacterial LSU rRNA
Rfam family: Bacterial large subunit ribosomal RNA
Source: RNAcentral
UAUCCGUAACUUCGGGAAAAGGAUAACCCAGCGUACGUGAAGUGCAGAAACGCACGGAGCGGAGAUGGGUGGCAGAAGAGAGGCCCAAGCGACUGUUUACCACAAACACAGGCGUCUGCUAAAGCGAAAGCUGAUGUAUAGAUGCUGACACCUGCCCGGUGCUGGAAGGUUAAGAGGAAGUGUUAGCGCAAGCGAAGCAGUGAAUUGAAGCCCCAGUAAACGGCGGCCGUAACUAUAACGGUCCUAAGGUAGCGAAAUUCCUUGUCGGGUAAGUUCCGACCCGCACGAAAGGUGUAACGAUUUGGGCACUGUCUCAACGAGGGACCCGGUGAAAUUGAAGUACCUGUGAAGAUGCAGGUUACCCGCGACUGGACAGAAAGACCCCAUGGAGCUUUACUGUAACCUGAGAUUGGAUUCCGGUAAGAGAUGUACAGGAUAGUUGGGAGGCUUAGAUGCAAGUACGCCAGUAUUUGCGGAGCCAUUGGUGGGAUACCAACCUUGUUUUAUUGGAAUUCUAACGAGAAGCGUAACGAGCUUGCGGACAGUCUCAGGCGGGCAGUUUGACUGGGGCGGUCGCCUCCGAAAGAGUAACGGAGGCGCCCAAAGGUUCCCUCAGCGCGGACGGAAACCGCGCGAAGAGUGCAAAGGCAGAAGGGAGCUUGACUGCGAGACGGACAGGUCGAGCAGGGACGAAAGUCGGGCUUAGUGAUCCGGUGGUAGAGAGUGGAAUUGCCAUCGCUCAACGGAUAAAAGCUACCCUGGGGAUAACAGGCUUAUCUCUCCCAAGAGUCCAUAUCGACGGGGAGGUUUGGCACCUCGAUGUCGGCUCAUCACAUCCUGGGGCUGAAGUAGGUCCCAAGGGUUGGGCUGUUCGCCCAUUAAAGUGGUACGCGAGCUGGGUUCAGAACGUCGUGAGACAGUUCGGUCCCUAUCCAUCGCGGGCGUAAGAAACUUGAAAGGGGCUGCUCCUAGUACGAGAGGACCGGAGUGGACCGACCAAUGGUGUACCAGUCAUGGCGCCAGCCGUGCAGCUGGGUAGCUACGUCGGGGACGGAUAAACGCUGAAAGCAUCUAAGCGUGAAACCAGCCUAGAGAUGAGGUUUCUCAUUGUUUUAACAAGUAAGGUCCCACAAAGACGAUGUGGUUGAUAGGCCGGGAGUGGAAGUACAGCGAUGUACGGAGCGGACCGGUACUAAUAGACCGAGGACUUGACUUA